RNAcentral lists this ribosomal RNA (140 nucleotides) under uncultured eukaryote. Its description in RNAcentral is "partial 18S ribosomal RNA". It matches the Rfam family "Eukaryotic small subunit ribosomal RNA", at positions 1299 to 1458 of the family's 1831-position model. The record is from RNAcentral.
UGGUGGAGUGAUUUGUCUGGUUAAUUCCGUUAACGAACGAGACCCCUGCCUGCUAAAUAGCCUGAUUAGUGCUUUUCACUGGCAUGGCUUCCUAGAGGGACGUGCAUUCAUUCAGUUGCAGGAAGACAGGGGCAAUAACA